This 191-nucleotide non-coding RNA is filed under the name Staphylococcus sp. RNAcentral describes it as "T-box sequence". It matches the Rfam family "T-box leader". From Rfam's summary of the family: Uncharged tRNA acts as the effector for transcription antitermination of genes in the T-box leader family. T-boxes are found upstream of many aminoacyl-tRNA synthetase genes and some amino acid biosynthetic genes usually in Gram-positive bacteria. Lineage: Bacteria; Bacillati; Bacillota; Bacilli; Caryophanales; Staphylococcaceae. The record is from RNAcentral.
AAUAUUAAACUGUAUUGGAGUAGUAACUUAAAUACUUUUCUAAAGAGAGCUAGUGGUGGUGCAAACUAGCGUUAAGAAUUAAGUGAACUUACCGUUAAUUAAUCGAAUUUAAAACAUCUCUUACUAUUAUAAAGUGCACAUGUAAAAUGUGAAUGAGGGUGGUACCGCGGCUAAAGAAAGUCGUCCCUGUC